Molecule: ribosomal RNA, 424 nt
Filed under: Chitinactis marmara
Lineage: Eukaryota; Metazoa; Cnidaria; Anthozoa; Actiniaria; Actinostolidae
Description: Chitonactis marmara partial large subunit ribosomal RNA
Rfam family: Bacterial large subunit ribosomal RNA
Source: RNAcentral
AUAGCCAAUUAAUUGUUGGCCGGUAUGAAUGGCGUCACGAAGGCCCCACUGUCUUAAGAGGACUCUCCAUGAAAUUGAAUUCGUAGUGAAGAUGCUACGUCCAUAUUGUAAGACGAAAAGACCCCAUUGAGCUUUACUAAAGAUUUGCAUGGCUUAAAAUAACUUAAAUAAAGAGUUUAUAUAAUGUGGGGCCCGUUUCUGGCUAAUGAAAUACCACUCUUUUAUUUUAAGAAAGCUAACCUUCACAGGGAUAAUGUAAGUUGGAUAGUUUGGUUGGGGCGACCGCCUUUUAAAAGGUAACGAAGGUGAGCUUAAGGUCCGGAAUUAAUAGCUGGUGGCCUGACUGCAAGGGGAACGUCCCGAGCAGACACUGGUAAUCACCCAGUGGGCUAUAGUGACCCGUCAUUUUAGCGUGGUAUAGUUG